Molecule: unclassified non-coding RNA, 263 nt
Filed under: plant metagenome
Description: partial contains small subunit ribosomal RNA, internal transcribed spacer 1, and 5.8S ribosomal RNA
Rfam family: Eukaryotic small subunit ribosomal RNA (bases 1-54)
Source: RNAcentral
GUAAGUAAAAGUCGUAACAAGGUUUCCGUAGGUGAACCUGCGGAAGGAUCAUUAUUGAAUGAAACACUUCUGGCUUUAUGCCGUUGUGCUGGCCCUUUGGGCAAUGUGCACACGGCUCUGGUCACUUGUUUCUUCUGUUCCACCUGUGCACUGCCUGUAGACACGCUGUGUCUAUGAUAUUUGUUAACACACAACAAUGUUAGUUGGCAUGUUAUAUAUAAUAAUAAAAUAUACAACUUUCAACAACGGAUCUCUUGGCUCCC